AGAGUUUGAUCAUGGCUCAGGAUGAACGCUAGCGACAGGCCUAACACAUGCAAGUCGAGGGGCAUCGGGGCGAGGAGCAAUCCUUGCCGCCGGCGACCGGCGCACGGGUGAGUAACGCGUAUGCGACCUGCCCGUUGCAGGGGGAUAAUCGGGAGAAAUCCCGUCUAAUACCGCGUAAUGCCGCGGGGCUGCAUGGCCCUGGGGCCAAAGGAAGCGAUUCCGGCAACGGAUGGGCAUGCGUGACAUUAGCUAGUUGGCGGGGCAACGGCCCACCAAGGCGACGAUGUCUAGGGGUUCUGAGAGGAAGGUCCCCCACACUGGUACUGAGACACGGACCAGACUCCUACGGGAGGCAGCAGUGAGGAAUAUUGGUCAAUGGGCGCGAGCCUGAACCAGCCAAGUCGCGUGAGGGAUGACGGCCCUACGGGUUGUAAACCUCUUUUGUCGGGGAGCAAAUUCCGCCACGCGUGGCGGAGUCGAGAGUACCCGAAGAAAAAGCAUCGGCUAACUCCGUGCCAGCAGCCGCGGUAAUACGGAGGAUGCGAGCGUUAUCC
RNAcentral lists this ribosomal RNA (554 nucleotides) under uncultured bacterium. RNAcentral describes it as "bacterial SSU rRNA". It matches the Rfam family "Bacterial small subunit ribosomal RNA", at positions 8 to 546 of the family's 1533-position model. The record is from RNAcentral.